RNAcentral lists this ribosomal RNA (468 nucleotides) under uncultured bacterium. Its description in RNAcentral is "partial 16S ribosomal RNA". It matches the Rfam family "Bacterial small subunit ribosomal RNA", at positions 28 to 507 of the family's 1533-position model. The record is from RNAcentral.
GACGAACGCUGGCGGCGUGCUUAACACAUGCAAGUCGAACGGAAAGGCCCUGCUUUUGUGGGGUGCUCGAGUGGCGAACGGGUGAGUAACACGUGAGUAACCUGCCCUUGACUUUGGGAUAACUUCAGGAAACUGGGGCUAAUACCGGAUAGGAGCUCCUGCUGCAUGGUGGGGGUUGGAAAGUUUCGGCGGUUGGGGAUGGACUCGCGGCUUAUCAGCCUGUUGGUGGGGUAGUGGCUUACCAAGGCUUUGACGGGCAGCCGGCCUGAGAGGGUGACCGGCCACAUUGGGACUGAGAUACGGCCCAGACUCCUACGGGAGGCAGCAGUGGGGAAUAUUGCACAAUGGGCGGAAGCCUGAUGCAGCAACGCCGCGUGCGGGAUGACGGCCUUCGGGUUGUAAACCGCUUUCGCCUGUGACGAAGCGUGAGUGACGGUAAUGGGUAAAGAAGCACCGGCUAACUACGUG